This 402-nucleotide ribosomal RNA is filed under the name Theileria orientalis. RNAcentral describes it as "SSU rRNA". It matches the Rfam family "Eukaryotic small subunit ribosomal RNA", at positions 459 to 902 of the family's 1831-position model. Lineage: Eukaryota; Apicomplexa; Aconoidasida; Piroplasmida; Theileriidae. The record is from RNAcentral.
GGGAGGUAGUGACAAGAAAUAACAAUACGGGGCUUAAUGUCUUGUAAUUGGAAUGAUGGGAAUUUAAACCUCUUCCAGAGUAUCAAUUGGAGGGCAAGUCUGGUGCCAGCAGCCGCGGUAAUUCCAGCUCCAAUAGCGUAUAUUAAAAUUGUUGCAGUUAAAAAGCUCGUAGUUGAAUUUCUGCUGCAUUUCAUUUCUCUUUCUGAGUUUGUUUUUGCGGCUUAUUUCGGUUUGAUUUUUUCUUUCCGGAUGAUUACUUUGAGAAAAUUAGAGUGCUCAAAGCAGGCUUUUGCCUUGAAUAGUUUAGCAUGGAAUAAUAAAGUAGGACUUUGGUUCUAUUUUGUUGGUUUUAGGUACCAAAGUAAUGGUUAAUAGGAACAGUUGGGGGCAUUCGUAUUUAAA